GGGUAUUCAAGAAGACCAGUCCAAAUUGCAAGCUUACAGUAUAUUUGGGGAAAAGAGAUUUCGUGGACCAUCUAGAUCACGUGGACCCUGUUGAUGGUGUGAUUCUGGUCGAACCUGAAUAUCUCAAAGAUAGAAAAG
Long non-coding RNA from Sinocyclocheilus grahami, 138 nucleotides. RefSeq lists it as uncharacterized. NCBI's taxonomy places the organism in Eukaryota, Metazoa, Chordata, Actinopteri, Cypriniformes, Cyprinidae. The transcript has 3 exons. The record is from RefSeq and is a predicted model, not a curated record.